This 2853-nucleotide long non-coding RNA is filed under the name Sus scrofa (pig). RNAcentral's name for it is "lncRNA (ENSSSCG00035034834.1)". The record is from RNAcentral. Lineage: Eukaryota; Metazoa; Chordata; Mammalia; Artiodactyla; Suidae.
CAAACAGCAAGAGGAUUUUUAUUCCGAGCGCGCUGGGGCCCACAGUCGUACGCCACGCAGGGGUAGAGGACUGCGGCCCCGAGUGUGGAGUCGGGACAGCUUUUAUGGGGUUCACAACAAAGCCCGCGCUUUUACAAACUAAUCAUUUUUAAAAUAUCGCAAACCAGUCAAUUCAAAACUUCGAGAGCCCGCGCUUUGUGGACCAAUUAAUUUUAAGUUGUUCUGGAGUUACAUGUUUGUGCCUGUCUCUGGGUGGGGGAGACAUAUUGUCACCAAGAUAUAUUUAUCAGGAUUUUCAACAUUUUGUGGCACGCCCGAUCUUACUGGGGUCGGUUAGGCAAUUGACUUCUCCUCUUUUUAUCUUAUGCAAGCAGGUUUACAGAAGCCAAACAAGCAGUUAGGAGCAGUUUCAAGAAGUUUCAAGCAUAGAGGCACAUACUCAGGGGCCUGUUUUUCCCCUUCCACAAAGUUUUGUACAGAGCAGAAAGCAAGCCCUAAAACAGCAAAAAGUAUGAUCUUUUACCUAUAGGGAACAGGGUCUGGAAUUCGAGGGCAUUUAGAGCUUCUUAUUAACUUCCUGGGUUCUGGGAGAGUCAGGUUGCAUUUUCAUCCUUUCAGCAUCUCCCUGAUCUUUCUUCUGUAUUCAUUUCUUCUGACCACAGCCGGAAAGACUCUCUGCUUUUAAGGUCUCCUGUGAUUAAACUGGGCCCAGAUAAUUCAGAAUAAUCCAGAUAAUCCAGAAUAAUUUUCCUAUUUCAAGGUCCUUGAGUUAACAAAAUCUGCAAAGUCUCUUUGCCAAAUAAGGCAAUAUGUUCACAGGUUCUGGGGAUUAGGAUGUGGGUAUCUUUGGGGAGGGGGCAUUAUUCUGCCUACCAUGGGGAUGAAGAGAAAUGAAUUCCCAAAGGAAAGAAGCACUCCUACUAUACUGUUCUGUGUUAUGCGGGGUUCUUGGGAAAAUCCCCAAAUGUAGCCUGAAUUGGCUGGUUCUAGCCAAGUAGCAAAUUUUCAUUUCUUAUAGAAACAAUAUACUAGCAUAUCAUGACCACUGUUCAUAAGCAAGACAGGCCAGAGUCACUGAUAUUUAUAGGCAGCCUGUAAGAUAUUUUCAUGACUCAUUGAGUGAUAUCCACUAAUCCUUUGGUUAAAAAUCUGUCUUAUUUAUGAAUCGUGUUUCCUUACUUUUUCAACAUGCAUUUCUCAAUACUCAGUCAAGGUAGGUAAGCUUGUCACUUUGAAUCUUUUUUUUGCUUUUUAGGGCUGCACCCUGCAGCAUAUGGAAGUUCCCAGGCUAGGGGUUGAAUCGGAGCUACAGCUGCUAGCCUACAUCAUAGCCAUAGCAAUGCCAGAUCUGAGCCGCGUCUGCAACCUACACCACAGUUCAUGGCAAUGCCGGGUCCUUAAUCCACUGAGCAAGGCCCAGGAUUGAACCACAUCCUCAUGGAUACUAGUCAGAUUCGUUCCCACUGUACCACAACAGGAACUCCCAAUGUCACUUUGAAUCUUAACGUAAAAAGAAAUUGUAAAAAUAUUUUUACCCGUGUCCUAGAAUUAAACCUCGUUGUCGCAAUUUCUCAGGGAGGAAUCACAAGUUCUUUGGCAAUGGAAGAUUCCUAUCUAUAGGAGGAAGACCAAAAGCACUACAGAUGAUACUUAGAUAUUUUGGGUACCUUAUAUAUAAGACCAGUUGAGGAAGAACAAAAAAACAAACUUGGUUUACAGAUGGGCAAUAUGUACAAUAUGCUGGCACCAUUCGAAAAUGAGACAGCUGCAGUAUUGCAGCCCAUGCAGGGGGGGCCCUGCAGGACAAAGGUAAAGGAAAAGCCUUCCCACGGGCAGAAUUUUGACUGAUAGAUUUGGUUGUCUGUGUCUAGAGUAAGGGGUGGACCGAAGCAUGGAUCUAUCCUGUUUUGGGGCAGUUGCCGAUUGUUGGGCUGGUGAAUUUGGAGACUUGGAAGAAACAGGACUGAGAGAUUGGUGACAAGCAGGUUUAGAGAGGAGGUGAUGUGGAAGGACCUCCAUGAAUAGGCACAAACUGUGAAGAUAUUUGUGUUCCACAUGAAAGCCCACCUGAGCACAUCUACUGCAAUGAGGGUUAAUCAUCAGAUGGACACAAUGAUGCUCUGAGAUGUCAGUCACUUUCCCUAGUGGACCCCUGAGCAAAGUGGCUGCCGUGACUGGGAUGGAGGCUACACGUGGGCUCAGUACCAUGGACUUCUGCUAAUGAAGCCCGACUUGGCUAACACUCCUUCUGAGUGCCCAACCUACAUAUGGCAAAGGCCACCAUCACGUCCCAUUGGGUGGCUUCUCCAACACAUGACACCCAGCAGCCAGCAGUUGGCACCCCUUCACACAGUGAGAUACCUUCCCAUAAAUAGCUUUAUCCAGCACCCUAGAUGAUGGAUUUCCAGCACUUUCCAAAGGACAGGUUUCCAGUAAGUUCGGCCAGCACAGUGCCACACAGACCUCCAUCAUCUCUGUGAGUCACUGCUAAGUGAUAUCAUAUGGUAUUUACCUUUCUCUUUCGGAUUGACUUCAUUUCGUAUGAGGGUCUCUAGUUCCAUCCACGUUGCUACAGAUGGCACUAUUUUGUUCUUUUUUAUGGCCGAAUAGUAUUCCAUUGUGUAUAUAUACCCCAUCUUCUUAAUCCAUUCAUCUGUUGAUGGACAUUUAGGUUGUUUCCAUAUCUUGGCUAUUGUGAAGAGUGACUUACAGGACGCGGGCAGCCGCCGGGAGACCCAUUUGGUCGGGUAGGGCGGCAGCUGCAGUGGACGACAGCCAGCGCCGCGAACAGCCGGGCUCCAGGAUCCCGACCGCGUUUUCCCGGCUUCCAAACAACCGCGUUCGCCCCGCCCU